GGAGGACAGCACCGCCGCCCGCACUGCGCCUGCUGCCACAUGCGCCCGUGGCGCCUGCGAGCAUGCGCGCACACGGACGGCGAGGGGAGACGCGACAGCACCCAUCGGUGGAGCUGCGCCCUGUGCUGUGAAGCUCUUGUUUCAGUGCCCUCCCUGCCGUGCCGCCGCAACCGCGCCGCGACGACGGCUGCCACGCUACCGCGGAGGACGGUGCCGCCUGAUGCCGACGCGGGCGUCGAGGCCUACCGGCACCGCGUAGCCCGCAGAGCUGACAUCGGCGGCGGCGGCGUCUUGCCGAGAUGCGGAGGCGUGUGCGACGACAGGCGAUGCUGACGCGCUUCUCCUGCCCGCACCGCGUCUGGACCGGCCAGCGGUGGGCUGGGCGCCCCUGCCGUGGCGGCGCGCGAUGGGCGCCGGCGUCGUGCGACUGCCACACCCUCGCCACGGCCGGGCGCUCCCGUGCUUCGUGGUGCGCGAUCCGGUUGCCUGCGCCGUGGCGAGGCCGCGCACGCCGACGCUGCCUUGCCCGGCGUAUGCCUCGUCCCCGCUGCUGUGGGAGGUGCGGGCGCACGCGCCGCCAAGCGGCUUUGCGCGGAGCUGGCUUGUGAAGGGGCGCGCUGUCCCGAGCACCGUCGGCGCUGGCGAGCUGCUGGCCGCGAGGUCGCUGGACCUGACCUUCUCUGCGCUCCAUGAGCUGCUCGGCGAUGCACAGCGCUGCGACCGCGUGGCGCGCACCUUCAUGCCAGCGGCAGGCCUGCGCCGGGCCGGGGGCAUGGCCUUCUCAGCUCGCGCCACCGCCACCGCUGCUGGCUGCGAGGCCGCGGCGCCGGUGGCGAGGACUGGCGGCCGCCGAGGUCCGCGUGUGCGCGGCUGACGGCCGAGCUUUCCGCCUGGAGUGGAGCGGAUGGCACGCACGUGGGGUGCGGGUGCCCGCACGGCUGGACGGCUGACCCGCGGUCGCGGCCGGCGGCGUCGUCCAUGUGCUCUGCCACGCCUCACAGGUGGGCUGGCUGGGCACGUGCAGCAGCAGCGCGCCCGCUCCUCCUGCGCGGCUGCGUGGGCGUGCCUGAGUCCGACGGCGUGCUGCGGCGGCUGUGCGAGGCCCGUGAAGUCGGCGGUAGCGUCUCUGCGCAGACGGCGUCCUGUGAUGCGCCCGCCGACAGCCGCCACGCUGUGCACCACAGGCCAUCCGAGUCGGUGGCGGUGGGGUGGCUGACGAGACAAGUAGAGCGCGUGCGCGCCUCUGCGGUGCUGCUGCGACGGCGACGGCGGCUGCGCCCGCCGAGGCGUGCGUGGGGGCCGCCAUGGCUGUUGCGCUUGGGGUGGUGGCCGAGUACGUGCCGGUCCGGCUGCACGCGGCUCUUGCGGUGGCCUGCGGUCUCGCCGACCCCGCGGCGGCACCAGCCUGCUCGCCGACAGCGGCGGCGUGACGCGACUGGAGAAGGCUGGGCAGCGGAAGGGCACGCCCCCCUUGCUGGCCGUGCUCGGCGAGAGGAAGCCGAGGACGGAGGGUGGCGCGCCGUGGGCGUGGCGUGGGCGCACGACGGGCCUCGCCAUGGCGGCGCGACGCACUGCGUGUGCCGUGCGGGGUGGGCGAGCAAGGGUGUGCGGGAGGGCGGCCGCGUGCGUGGGGACAGGUGCAACUGUCCGUCCCGCCCCCGAUGCGGGUGGAGCGCGCUGGAGCCCGUCUGUAUGCGCAUGCGCGCUGCUGCUGUGGCCAGCCUCCCUUCUGCGCCACCGCGUCGCAGGCGGCACCGCUGCGUUGAGACACGGCGCGCGCCGGUGGGUGGGGUGAGGCCGGGAAUGACUUCUGCUUGGCUUGCUUGCAUGCGAGCAUGCUGGCGGGUUGCUGGCUGGGCGGACUCGGCACGGUGCACCCCAUCCCUCCUCCCUGCGGUCGCCUCGUGUGCGGCGAGAGUGUGCUCUCGCCUUGGCGGUGGCGGCGUGCGUGCGAGCGUUCUCUCCUGCUGGCGCACGUCGGCCGUGCAUCCGCGUGCCGGCGCUGGUGGGCGAGCUGGGCGAGGGGAGGAGAGGUACACACAGCGAGGCCGAGAGCGAACGUGGAGCCUGUGGUGUGCGCAGGGGUGUGGGCCAUGCGCACGGGAGAGGUGAGGCGAAGGGGGCCGCGACUACACACUGCACCGAGUGCGAGCUGUGUGGACAGAGUGGAGGCCUCAUGUGGGUGCUGGGCCCUCCAUGAUUUGUCGCGUUCCCCACCCACAUGCGACAGUUGCCGGCGCCCGCUCCCCCGCUCCUUGCGGUGCGCGCCACGUAGUCGCUCCUUUCUUCCCGCCGCAUACGUGACGACGCUGGUGGCAGGGGGACACCUGGUGCGCGGCGCGCAGUGGUGCCGCGCUCUCUGUCUGGGGAGGCGGAGCGGCCCCUCCUCCCUCCCCCCUCAUCCCUGCGCAUGCGGGGCGGCUUGUGGUGGUGGCAGGGGUAGGCCCCUGCGGCGUAGGGGGAGGCGAGGGCGAUGCGUCGCGGCCGGUGUCGGCGGUGAGGUUGUGGAUGGCGUGGCGCCGGAGCGACGUGCGGCAGUGGACACGCUUGUGCUGUCCGCAUGGCGGGCGAGGGGUGAACGGGGCUCGGGCGUCUCCCACCCUGCCGUUGCUGCCUGCUGGUGGGGAGCCUGAGCCACGCCGAGGGGGACGCACGGGGUGGCUGCCGGCACGGUGUGCGCUGCUGUGGGGCGCCCUGCGUGGGGGAUGGGUGGGCAGAGGCUGUGCAGGGGACCGUGCGCAUGUUGCUGGGCCGCGCGCGGGGGCGGCGCGGGGUGUAGCGUGGCGCCGGCCUGCUGCUGUAGGGCGGAGGCAUGGACGCGUCGAAGGGGAGCUGCUUGCGCUGUGGCAGACAUCGCCACCCCGGGUGCCGCCUGGCACUCGCCGCUGUCCCCAUCUGCCACGUGCGGCCACCCACGCAUGCGGGCGGCGAGCGACAUCGGCACUCAUGAGGGUUUUGUGUCCUGUGCUUCCACACCCCCAGCGCGCUUGGGCAGCGCGCCCAUGCAGCGGUGGGGGCCUCAUGGGCAGAGGGGGUGCGCGCGCCACUGCCUGCUCUCUUGUCCCCGCGUGUCCUCCCUCGGUGAUGGGGGCGAGCAAGCGAGUGCCCCUCGCCGGCCUCUCCCGCCCCACCGAGCAGCGAGAGACACACGUGAGCCACAACGGCGGCCUCGGCUGUGCUGCCUGUGCGUGGCGAGCGGGCGCGUGCAGCCGCAUCCUUCCCCCGCGUGUGCGCACACACCCGUCGGUGGGCGGUGCCGGCGUCUUGCGCGGCGUUGCUCGGCGGCCGCUUUUCCUUUGCUCUCGUCGACUCUGGCGCAGGGUGGUGAGGGCUGCCACCCGGACACGCCCAGGCUGGCGUGGCUGAAGGCAUCGCCGCUGUAGCCGCAACGGGUACGAGUGCGCGCGAGCAGGCGCAGCAGCAGUGGCGGCUGUGGUGCGGGGGUGGUGUUUCCGCCUCCCCCUCUCGGCGUCACUGGCGCCCCGACCAUGCGUAGCGCGUGGUCGUGCUGCCCGUGCUGCUGUCUUGAACCGUGCUUGAUGCUUGCUCCCACUGCGACGCACUUGGCCACUGCCCUGCCGCUCAUCGUUAUUGGUUUCAUGGAGGUGCUCGUGCCGCGUCGCAAGCUCUGCACACACACACACACACACUCAUGCAUGCGCGCACGGGAGUGAGGGGGAGCCGCAGCGACCGAUCGGACGGAGCGGGCGGGCGGAGGGGGGCGCUUCCGCCCGCUGGCCGUGCUCUCUGUUUCGCUGGCCGGCCUCUCUACGCCGCUGGCGUGGGCGGAGCUCCGCGCUGCGUAUCGCUCGCCCCUCCCUGCCCCUCGCCUCCUCCUCCUCAUGUGCACUGCUCCCUCCCUCUCCCUCCCUCUCCCUCCCUCUCCCUCCCUCUACACUCCUCGCUGUCCCCUCGGCCGACCUCCACGGACACGCAG
Molecule: unclassified non-coding RNA, 3937 nt
Filed under: Leishmania donovani
Lineage: Eukaryota; Euglenozoa; Kinetoplastea; Trypanosomatida; Trypanosomatidae
Description: gene:unknown
Source: RNAcentral